AGGCCCCCCCACCUCCCUGCUGCCCCCAGCUCAUCUCCUCUGUCCAUGGAGCAGUGUAGGCCCAGGUUCCAGAGAAGGACAGGACUGCGGGGCUCUGAGCUCCUCGUGGACAGAGUUAGCGUCAGGCUGAUGGGAGCUGGCACCCUGGACAGGCCUGGAGCCCAGAGUGGGGCCGAGCAGGUGGCUGGUGCCAGGUUCCCGCUGGACGAAGUAGAAUGAGCUCUCAGGUGGGGACAGGGAGUGGAGGACAGCGGGCCGGGCCAUGCCCCACCUGGGGGGAGGGGAUCAGGACUCAGGAAGGCACCAGGACAGAGACACCGACUCUCCAGGCACUCAGGUGCCCUGAGAUGGGACCGCGCCCUGGGAGCAGAGUCCAGGGAGCAGCCUCCCCUGCAGGCAAGGAAAUGAAGGAGGAGCCUGAGGUCUCUUCCCCAAAACCAAACAGAUCGCCCUGGACGUGAACAAGACCUUCCGCAGCCACAUGGUGUUCUGGGACCGCUGUGGGGUCAGGGGCUCCACUGCUAAUACUUCAUCGUUGGACUUGCGAUCAGGUGACGUGGGGCUCACACAGUUAUUCUCCUUUUCCCGAAUCCUUAAGCUGUCCUACGCUUUCCAUCUUUGCAUGCAAGUUUGAGAAUCAGCUUAUCUCUACCUACAAAAGUCUCCCUGGGAUUUUGAUUUGGACUCUGUUGACCCGAACACCGUUUAAAGACAACCGAUGGCUUUACUGCAGCAGACCUGUCGAUCCCUGAGCAUGGUUCCUGGCUCACAGCUCACAAGACACAUUGGAAUUUCUGAGAGCAAAGGGCCCGUCUUCUGUUGCAUAGCUUGGUCUCUUGUCCACAGUGGCUGAAAUCCCUUCAGAGCCGUGAAGGAGUGUCCUGUCCCAGGCAGACAUUGCCACUCCAAGUCUCCCGCACUUCCUGUUCUUACACCAGGACCCUGGACUCAAAUCAUCACCCAGGACUGGACAAUAACUCAGCCAGCUCAUCAAAGUUCCUCUUCCCACCACUCCACUGGCCCAUUAGGUUGUGGGAAAUAAGGUGUUAUAGUGAGUUUUUUUUUCUCUUUCCAGGAUCAGAUGAACUUGGGGAAAUGUUCCAAGUGUUCCCCAAAACCUGGAGCUGGGGGAGCGCACACAAGGAUGUGUGUGCUUCUGUGCUGAGCCUCCUGUCCACAAGGAGGCUGCCAGCUUGUGGCCAGGAGAAAGCCCUGGCAAGUCAGAUGUGCUUGUGCAGGAGGCAGCCCUCAGGGGCCCCAGCCACCCACUGCUCCAGCUUCCACAGUUGGAAUACGCAACUGCUUCAUUUCAUUUCUAGAUCGAACCUUUGAUCCCCACUUGCACCCUUCUAUUAUGAGAGUAGAAGUCCCUACAUCUAAUGUUAUGGGUGCACGUGGGCACACACACAGCCAUCUGGGAAAUGCCUACACUGCACUGUCCAAUAGGGUGGCCACAACCCUCGUGGCUUGAGCACUAGCUGUGGCUCCCACCGUAUUUCUCCAGGGUAGCAGCUUAUUUAGAAAGAGUGGUUCUAAUAUGUCUCCCUUCGUGUUGUAAGAGCACAGGCUGCUACUAUCACAUUACUUCAAAAAACCUUACAGAAUACAUAAAACAAUGGUUCUUGAGACAUGGGACACUAGAAGACGAAAGGACUUUGACCCUGAGAGACCAGCAGCCUUUGAGGUAAGACCUAUGACAGCCCGGGUCCUUCCUAGACAAAGUUUCCAAACCACAGCAGAGGGAAGAAAACCCACACAACGCCCGGAGGCCUUCCUGGUGAAGAGGACAGAGCCUGGAGGCCAGAGGCCAGGAGGCUAGAAAGCUAGAGUACCAGACAGGAAAGGGUCUGCUCAAAUUAAGGAGUCCAGGCCCACAGGAGCCCCUUGACUGUCCAGCAGAUACUAGUGAGCACUCGCAUGUGCAGGAACUACCCAGCAGGGCAGAGAGAACCCUCCAGAAGAACCAGAGGGAACAGUCCCCAGGAAACCCUCACAAGGUGCUGGCAAUACUGCCUGUUCCCAACAGCUUCAGGGGGCCUCACCCCAUGGGGUGGCAGACGGAACAUUCAGGAGGGGGUUCCCCUGACAGUGGGGAAAAAUUAAGCCUGGACAAAGUGCUGCUCUCCUUCACCCAACAAAGUGUAAGAGUAAGACGUGAAUGGAUCAAAUUGUCCUCAAGUAACUCAAUCUUCAAGCGGAGAAAGCUGGAACAGACCAGAGAGCCCAGAAAUAAACCCACGUGUACAAGGUCAAUUCAAUUAUAGUGAAGGAACCAAGAACACCCAAUGGGGAGAGGACAGUUUCUUCAACAAAUGGUGCUGGUAACACUGGACAGCCACGUGCAGAAAGAGUCUGAACCCCUUCCUCACACCACACACACGUCAACUCAGAAUGGAUUCAAGUGGGAAUGUCCGACCUGAAACCCUACAAGUCCCGGGAGGAAACACAGGCGGUAAGGUCCCUGACCCUGGCCUUGGUGAUGUUUGCUGGGUUUGGCAGCAGAAGCAAAGGCAAUAGAAACAAAAGUAAACCAGCAAGGCUAUACCCAACGGGAAAGCUUCUGCACAGCCAGGGAAGCCACUGAAUGGGAGAAAAUAGCUGCAAAUCAUAAUGUGAUGAGAUGGAUAUUUAAAAUACAAGAACUCACAUCACAAAGGACCAGAAGACAAAAAGCACCAGAUUAAAAAUGGGCAGAAGAUCUAGACAGACCUUUUUCCCAAAAGACUGACACAUGGCCAACAGGCACAGGAAAAGAUGCCCUACAUCACCGAUCAUCAGGGUUUGCAAAUCAAAGUCCCUAGGAGUUGCCACCUCAUGCCUAUCAGAAUCUCUGGUAUCAAAAAGACAAGAAAUAUCAAGUGGGGGUGAGGAUGUGGAGACAAAGGAAGCCAGACGCACGGUUGAUGGGAAGGCAAGUUGGUGCAGCCAAUGUGAAGCCAUCAUGGAGGUUCCUCGAAAAAUUAAAAAAUUAAAAAAUUAAAAAAUUAAAAACGAAGCAGCCCGGGAUCCCUUACGCUGAUGAACAGAUUACCAAGAGCUGAUAUAUCUACACCGUGAAUAGGAGUCAGCCAUGAGAAGGAACAAAAUCCUGCCGCCUGUGACCAUGUGUCCCCACACCCAAGGGUGUGAUGCCCAGUGAGAGAAGGUACAGGAGAAAGAUGAAUACUGGGUGCUUUCACUCAUAUGUGGGAUCUGAAAAAAACAAAACAAAUGAACAAGGAUAAACCAAACGGAAUCGUUUUUUUUUUUUUUAACACAGAAAAAUAUAUCUUUCUUUAAAAGAAUGAUAUUUUCCAAAACAAACACGCAAAAAGAGUAAAGUGACAAGUGUGGCACUGAUUUACAAUUUGGCAGAUCUCUUUAAUAUCUGGAUUCACAGGGACGCCUGGGUGGCUCAGUGGCUGGGCGUCUGCCUUUGGCUCAGGUCGUGAUCCUGAGGUCGUGAGAUCGAGUCCCACAUCGGGCUCCCUGCACAGACUCUGCUUCUGCUUCUGCCUGUGUCUCUGCCUCUCUCUGUGU
Long non-coding RNA from Canis lupus familiaris (dog), 3519 nucleotides. RefSeq lists it as uncharacterized. Lineage: Eukaryota; Metazoa; Chordata; Mammalia; Carnivora; Canidae. The transcript is spliced from 5 exons. The record is from RefSeq and is a predicted model, not a curated record.